This 957-nucleotide ribosomal RNA is filed under the name groundwater metagenome. RNAcentral's name for it is "bacterial SSU rRNA". It matches the Rfam family "Bacterial small subunit ribosomal RNA", at positions 8 to 960 of the family's 1533-position model. The record is from RNAcentral.
AGAGUUUGAUCCUGGCUCAGAACGAACGCUGGCGGCGCGCUUAACACAUGCAAGUCGAACGAGAAGCCGUAGCAAUACGGUUGUAAAGUGGCAGACGGGUGAGUAAUGCAUGGGUAACCUACCCUCAGGUGGGGAAUAACUCCUCGAAAGGGGAGCUAAUGCCGACGAUACCCACCAGCCUCAUAAGAGGUUGUUGGAAAGCCGAACCGAGGGUUCGGCGCCUGAGGAUGGGCCCAUGUCCUAUCAGCUUGUUGGCGGGGUAAUGGCCCACCAAGGCUGCGACGGGUAGCUGGUCUGAGAGGACGACCAGCCACACUGGCACUGCGACACGGGCCAGACUCCUACGGGAGGCAGCAGUGAGGAAUCUUGCGCAAUGGGCGAAAGCCUGACGCAGCGACGCCGCGUGGGGGAUGAAGGCCUUCGGGUUGUAAACCCCUUUCAGGAGGGAAGAUGGGACGGGCAACCGUUCGGACGGUACCUUCAGAAGCAGCCACGGCUAACUCUGUGCCAGCAGCCGCGGUAAGACAGAGGUGGCAAGCGUUGUUCGGAUUUACUGGGCGUAAAGGGUGCGUAGGUGGUUAGGUAAGACCUGCGGGAAAGACCUGGGCUUAACCCAGGAAGGUCGUAGGUGACUGCCUGGCUAGAGGGCGGGAGAGGAGAGCGGAAUUCCCGGUGUAGCGGUGAAAUGCGUAGAGAUCGGGAGGAAGGCCGGUGGCGAAGGCGGCUCUCUGGAACGUUCCUGACACUGAGGCACGAAAGCGUGGGGAGCAAACAGGAUUAGAUACCCUGGUAGUCCACGCCCUAAACGAUGGGUACUAAGUGUCGGCGGGUUACCGCCGGUGCCGCACCUAACGGAGUAAGUACCCCGCCUGGGGAGUACGGCCGCAAGGUUGAAACUCAAAGGAAUUGACGGGGGCCCGCACAAGCGGUGGUGCAUGUGGUUUAAUUCGACGCAAC